ACGGAUACGUGGCGACUCUAGUGAAAAUGUGCGCGCCGGUCUGUGUGUCGGUAAAAGCUGUAGAGUUGUUAUUCGAUUCAGCUGUCUGAGAAGCGCAUGUUCCACGGAUGCAGAGUUUUACGCGGUCGGAGCUGCUUAAGAUAUUUUUGUAUCUGGAAGUGUAACAUAAAGAUAUGUUUUGAUCAGGUAAAUAUAACGCUAGAUUCAGCAUAAAUUGUCGGCGAGCAUGGAUGUGAUGGUGCAACACAGGGGAAAUGGACUGUGACGAAUAACAAGAAGCAACAGCAGGAGGGCGAAAUAAAGAAGGACAGGAAGAAGAAGAAGAAGAAGCGCGUGAAUGUGUCAAAUAUGUAAAAAACAUUAUUGUAGGUUAGACGCGAGAAGAUUUGAAACAAGUAAGAAAGGAAUGAAAAGAGAAAAGUAAUUGAGCUUUAUUUGCGAAGUGGGAAUAGAAUAGAUAAUAGGUAAUAUGUAAUGCAAUAUAAUUUUGUGGAUGAUAGAAGAACUGAUUUAUUUGGAUUCUAGAAGACUAAAGAAUAGGUAAAGAUGCAUUUAGGAGAUA
This is a long non-coding RNA of Bombus impatiens (common eastern bumble bee), 562 nucleotides long. RefSeq lists it as uncharacterized. NCBI's taxonomy places the organism in Eukaryota, Metazoa, Arthropoda, Insecta, Hymenoptera, Apidae. The transcript has 3 exons. The record is from RefSeq and is a predicted model, not a curated record.